Molecule: small nuclear RNA, 191 nt
Organism: Leptobrachium leishanense (Leishan spiny toad)
Lineage: Eukaryota; Metazoa; Chordata; Amphibia; Anura; Megophryidae
Gene: U2
Rfam family: U2 spliceosomal RNA
About the family: U2 is a small nuclear RNA (snRNA) component of the spliceosome (involved in pre-mRNA splicing).
Source: Ensembl
AUCGCUUCUCGGCCUUUUGGCUAAGAUCAAGUUUAGUAUCUGUUCUUAUCAGUUUAAUAUCUGAUACGCCCCCUAUCUGGGGGCCAUAUAUUAAAUGGAUUUUUAGAACAGGAAGAUGGAAGAAGAACUUGCUCUGUCCACUCCACUCAUUGACCUGGUAUUGCAGUACCUCCAGGACCGGUGCACAAAAA